UCCCUGAUAGCCCAGUGGUUAAGAUUCCCACUUCCGAUGCAGGAGGCCUGGGUUCAAUCCCUGGUCAGGGAA
RNAcentral lists this transfer RNA (72 nucleotides) under Bos taurus (domestic cattle). It matches the Rfam family "tRNA". From Rfam's summary of the family: Transfer RNA (tRNA) molecules are approximately 80 nucleotides in length. Their secondary structure includes four short double-helical elements and three loops (D, anti-codon, and T loops). Further hydrogen bonds mediate the characteristic L-shaped molecular structure. tRNAs have two regions of fundamental functional importance: the anti-codon, which is responsible for specific mRNA codon recognition, and the 3' end, to which the tRNAs corresponding amino acid is attached (by aminoacyl-tRNA synthetases). tRNAs cope with the degeneracy of the genetic code in two manners: having more than one tRNA (with a specific anti-codon) for a particular amino acid; and 'wobble' base-pairing, i.e. permitting non-standard base-pairing at the 3rd anti-codon position. RNAcentral also lists the same sequence under 4 other names. The record is from Rfam by way of RNAcentral. Lineage: Eukaryota; Metazoa; Chordata; Mammalia; Artiodactyla; Bovidae.